Molecule: ribosomal RNA, 253 nt
Filed under: uncultured bacterium
Lineage: Bacteria
Description: partial 16S ribosomal RNA
Rfam family: Bacterial small subunit ribosomal RNA
Source: RNAcentral
UACAGAGGUCUCAAGCGUUGUUCGGAUUCAUUGGGCGUAAAGGGCGCGUAGGCGGCGGGGUAAGUCGGGUGUGAAAUCUCAGAGCUCAACUCUGAAACUGCACUCGAUACUGCUCUGCUUGAGGACUGGAGAGGAGACUGGAAUUCACGGUGUAGCAGUGAAAUGCGUAGAUAUCGUGAGGAAGACCAGUGGCGAAGGCGGAUCUCUGGACAGUUCCUGACGCUGAGGCGCGAAGGCCAGGGGAGCAAACGGG